AUAUCCGGGCUAAGUUCCGAAGGCAUUUGGGUUGGAAAUGUGUGAUCUUGCUGUAAUAAUUCAAAUAAAUGGGCUCACAAACCUAAGAUGGUCAGAUCUUGUUCGUUAGCUACGGUCUCGGGGAUCCCAAAGUCGAAGUCGUCCACACUAUCUAAGCCCAUUCAGUACUCUAGUAGUUAAACUUCGAUAAUGGCAUGUAUAGGCUUGUCUUUUUGUUGUUAAAUAAGUAUCUUUUUGAUGA
Gossypium arboreum is the source of this 241-nucleotide long non-coding RNA. RefSeq lists it as uncharacterized. The transcript is spliced from 2 exons. The record is from RefSeq and is a predicted model, not a curated record. Lineage: Eukaryota; Viridiplantae; Streptophyta; Magnoliopsida; Malvales; Malvaceae.